GACGAACGCUGGCGGCGUGCUUAACACAUGCAAGUCGAACGGAAAGGCCCUGCUUUUGUGGGGUGCUCGAGUGGCGAACGGGUGAGUAACACGUGAGUAACCUGCCCUUGACUUUGGGAUAACUUCAGGAAACUGGGGCUAAUACCGUAUAGGAGCUCCUGCUGCAUGGUGGGGGUUGGAAAGUUUCGGCGGUUGGGGAUGGACUCGCGGCUUAUCAGCUUGUUGGUGGGGUAGUGGCUUACCAAGGCUUUGACGGGUAGCCGGCCUGAGAGGGUGAACGGCCACAUUGGGACUGAGAUACGGCGCAGACUGCUACGGGAGGCAGCAGUGGGGAAUAUUGCACAAUGGGCGGAAGCCUGAUGCAGAAACGCCGCGUGCGGGAUGACGGCCUUCGGGGUGUAAACCGCUGUCGCCUGUGACGAAGCGUGAGUGACGGUAAUGGGUAAAGAAGCACCGGCUAACUACGUG
RNAcentral lists this ribosomal RNA (468 nucleotides) under uncultured bacterium. RNAcentral's name for it is "partial 16S ribosomal RNA". It matches the Rfam family "Bacterial small subunit ribosomal RNA", at positions 28 to 507 of the family's 1533-position model. The record is from RNAcentral.